RNAcentral lists this long non-coding RNA (199 nucleotides) under Nicotiana benthamiana. RNAcentral's name for it is "long non-coding RNA (NBEN_LNC021980)". Lineage: Eukaryota; Viridiplantae; Streptophyta; Magnoliopsida; Solanales; Solanaceae. The record is from RNAcentral.
CCAAGACCCCGGGACUUCAAAUCAAAUGUACUAUGACAUCAUUGAAACUCAUUCAGAACUUUGGAAUGCUCACAACAACUUCAAAUCACCAAUUAACAUACGAUUCAAGCCUAACUCCAAGAACUCUUAAAUUAUGAUUUCGAUCAAAAAGUCUAUCAAAUGUCGUUCGAAUGACCUAAAAUUUAGCAAGAAUGUCAUA